GAGAUAAAGCCCGAUUGGUGGCUCUUGGGAACUAUAAGGUGUAUGGUCUUGAUUAUGAGGAGACCUUCGCCCCUGUCGCAAAGAUGACUACUGUGAGGACUAUUAUGGCUAUAGCCGCUUCUAGAGAAUGGUCUCUCAAGCAGAUGGAUGUGAAAAAUGCAUUCUUACAUGGUGAUUUGAAGGAGGAAGUAUAUAUGAGUCCUCCUCCUGGUAUGUUCUCUCACUCUUCUACUGAGGUUUGUCGGUUGAGGCACUCUUUAUAUAGAUUGAAACGGGCACCAUGCGCUUGGUUUGAGAAGUUCCGUACCACUUUACUUGAUUUUCAUUUCACUCAAAGUCAGUCUGAUUCCUCCCUAUUUCUUAAACGCACUAUUGAUGGACUUGUUGUGCUUUUGGUAUAUGUGGAUGAUAUUGUGAUCACAGGAUCUGACACUCAGUCGAUUGUGCAACUUCAGCAGCAUCUUAACACCACCUUUCAUAUGAAAGAUCUUAGUUCUCUACAGUAUUUUCUCGGUUUUCAGGUGCAUUCCUAUCCUCAUGGUCUACUUAUACAUCAACACAAGUAUACCCAAGAGAUUCUCACCUCAGCUGGCCUUCAAUCUGGGAAUUCCGUGCUUACUCCACUAGAAGUUAAUUUCAAGCUCAGCCAAGAUGGAGGAGAACUCUUACCUGAUCCAUCCUUAUACCGACAGCUUGUAUGAAGUUUGAACUAUUUGACAAUUACUCGACCCGAUAUUUCUUUUGCUGUACAACAAGUCAGUCAGUUUAUGCAGGCUCCACGACAACCUCAUUUAGCAACCGUACGAAGAAUUCUUAGUUACCUCAAGGGUACAUCUGGUCGAGGGUUGUUUUUCCCUAUAGGGAAUUCUUUGCAAUUAAAGGGUUAUAGUGACGCUGAUUGGGUUGGUUGUGUGGACACUCGACGUUCAGUUACUGGUUGGUGCAUGUUUCUUGGUGAUGCACUUAUAUCUUGGAAGAGUAAGAAGCAGGAUCGUGUCUCGAAGUCCUCUACUGAGUAUCGUGCUAUGUCAUCCGCCUGCUCAGAAAUUGUGUGGCUUCGGGGUUUGUUAGGAGAACUUGGAAUCCCUUAGCUUGCUUCUACUCCGCUUUAUGCUCAUAACACCAGUGCUAUUCAGAUUGCCGCAAAUCUUGUAUUUCAUGAACGCACCAAGUAUAUUGAAGUAGAUUGCCAUUCUAUCCGUGAAGCCC
RNAcentral lists this long non-coding RNA (1209 nucleotides) under Olea europaea subsp. europaea. Lineage: Eukaryota; Viridiplantae; Streptophyta; Magnoliopsida; Lamiales; Oleaceae. The record is from RNAcentral.